This 824-nucleotide ribosomal RNA is filed under the name Flavobacterium sp. CS38. RNAcentral's name for it is "bacterial SSU rRNA". It matches the Rfam family "Bacterial small subunit ribosomal RNA", at positions 60 to 890 of the family's 1533-position model. Lineage: Bacteria; Pseudomonadati; Bacteroidota; Flavobacteriia; Flavobacteriales; Flavobacteriaceae. The record is from RNAcentral.
AGUCGAGGGGUAUGCUUCUUCGGAAGCAGAGACCGGCGCACGGGUGCGUAACGCGUAUGCAAUCUACCUUUUACAGAGGGAUAGCCCAGAGAAAUUUGGAUUAAUACCUCAUAGCAUAGCAGUCUCGCAUGAGAUCACUAUUAAAGUCACAACGGUAAAAGAUGAGCAUGCGUCCCAUUAGCUAGUUGGUAAGGUAACGGCUUACCAAGGCUACGAUGGGUAGGGGUCCUGAGAGGGAGAUCCCCCACACUGGUACUGAGACACGGACCAGACUCCUACGGGAGGCAGCAGUGAGGAAUAUUGGACAAUGGGCGCAAGCCUGAUCCAGCCAUGCCGCGUGCAGGAUGACGGUCCUAUGGAUUGUAAACUGCUUUUAUACGAGAAGAAACACUGCUUCGUGAAGCAGCUUGACGGUAUCGUAAGAAUAAGGAUCGGCUAACUCCGUGCCAGCAGCCGCGGUAAUACGGAGGAUCCAAGCGUUAUCCGGAAUCAUUGGGUUUAAAGGGUCCGUAGGCGGUUUAAUAAGUCAGUGGUGAAAGCCCAUCGCUCAACGGUGGAACGGCCAUUGAUACUGUUAAACUUGAAUUAUUAGGAAGUAACUAGAAUAUGUAGUGUAGCGGUGAAAUGCUUAGAGAUUACAUGGAAUACCAAUUGCGAAGGCAGGUUACUACUAAUGGAUUGACGCUGAUGGACGAAAGCGUGGGUAGCGAACAGGAUUAGAUACCCUGGUAGUCCACGCCGUAAACGAUGGAUACUAGCUGUUGGAAGCAAUUUCAGUGGCUAAGCGAAAGUGAUAAGUAUCCCACCUGGGGAGUACGUUCGCA